UACAGAGGUCUCGAGCGUUGUUCGGAUUCAUUGGGCGUAAAGGGUGCGUAGGUGGCGCUGUAAGUCGGGUGUGAAGUCCUGAGGCUUAACCUCGGAACUGCAUUCGAUACUGCGGCGCUUGAGGACUGGAGAGGAGACUGGAAUUCAUGGUGUAGCAGUGAAAUGCGUAGAGAUCAUGAGGAAGACCAGUGGCGAAGGCGGGUCUCUGGACAGUUCCUGACACUGAGGCACGAAGGCCAGGGGAGCAAACGGG
Molecule: ribosomal RNA, 253 nt
Filed under: uncultured bacterium
Lineage: Bacteria
Description: partial 16S ribosomal RNA
Rfam family: Bacterial small subunit ribosomal RNA
Source: RNAcentral